AUUGAACGCUGGCGGCAUGCUUUACACAUGCAAGUCGAACGGUAACAGGCCGCAAGGUGCUGACGAGUGGCGAACGGGUGAGUAAUGCAUCGGAACGUGCCCAGUCGUGGGGGAUAACUAUCCGAAAGGAUAGCUAAUACCGCAUACGAUCUGCGGAUGAAAGCGGGGGACCUUCGGGCCCCACGCGAUUGGAGCGGUCGAUGUCAGAUUAGGUAGUUGGUGGGGUAAAGGCUCACCAAGCCAACGAUCUGUAGCUGGUCUGAGAUGACGACCAGACACACGUGGACUCAUACACGGCCCAGACUCCUACGGGAGGCAGCAGUGGGGAAUUUUGGACAAGGGGCGCAAGCCUGAUUCAGCAAUGCCGCGUGCAGGAAGAAGGCCGUCGGGUUGUAAACUGCUUUUGUACGGAACGAAACGGCUCUGGUUAAUACCUGGGGCUAAUGACGGUACCGUAAGAAUAAGCACCGGCUAACUACGUGCCAGCCGCCGCGGUAA
Molecule: ribosomal RNA, 498 nt
Filed under: uncultured bacterium
Lineage: Bacteria
Description: partial 16S ribosomal RNA
Rfam family: Bacterial small subunit ribosomal RNA
Source: RNAcentral